CCUACGGGGGGCAGCAGUCGAGAAUCAUUCACAAUGGGGGAAACCCUGAUGGUGCGACGCCGCGUGGGGGAAUGAAGGUCUUCGGAUUGUAAACCCCUGUCAUGUGGGAGCAAAUUAAAAAGAUAGUACCACAAGAGGAAGAGACGGCUAACUCUGUGCCAGCAGCCGCGGUAAUACAGAGGUCUCAAGCGUUGUUCGGAAUUACUGGGCGUAAAGUGUGCGUAGGCUGUUUCGUAAGUCGUGUGUGAAAGGCGCGGGCUCAACCCGCGGACGGCACAUGAUACUGCGAGACUAGAGUACUGGAGGGGGAGCCGGAAUUCUCGGUGUAGCAGUGAAAUGCGUAGAUAUCGAGAGGAACACUCGUGGCGAAGGCGGGUUCCUGGACAUUAACUGACGCUGAGGCACGAAGGCCAGGGGAGCGAAAGGGAUUAGAUACCCCAGUAGUC
RNAcentral lists this ribosomal RNA (446 nucleotides) under uncultured bacterium. Its description in RNAcentral is "partial 16S ribosomal RNA". It matches the Rfam family "Bacterial small subunit ribosomal RNA", at positions 338 to 795 of the family's 1533-position model. The record is from RNAcentral.